RNAcentral lists this small RNA (247 nucleotides) under Castor canadensis (American beaver). RNAcentral's name for it is "7SK RNA (ENSCCNG00000007005.1)". It matches the Rfam family "7SK RNA", at positions 1 to 247 of the family's 331-position model. Rfam says of the family: 7SK was discovered as an abundant small nuclear RNA in the mid-70s but a possible function has only recently been suggested. Two independent studies have found that 7SK RNA binds the CDK9/cyclin T complex (known as elongation factor P-TEFb). Lineage: Eukaryota; Metazoa; Chordata; Mammalia; Rodentia; Castoridae. The record is from RNAcentral.
GGAUAGAGGGCGAUGGCUGGCGACAUCUGCACCCCACCGUCGCCAAAGGGUUGAUUCCGCUGAGCUGGCUGCUAGGACAGGUGCCCCUUCAUCCCUCCCACCGCUCCAUGUGCGUCCCCUCCGAAGCUGCGCGCUCGGUUGAAGAGGACGACAUCCCCGAUAGAGGAGGACCGUUCGUUUGUAAGGGUAUAUCCGGAGUACUCUGCGCUGCCCUGCUAGAAAUCCAAACAAGCUCUCAAAGAAANNN